This 460-nucleotide ribosomal RNA is filed under the name uncultured bacterium. RNAcentral describes it as "partial 16S ribosomal RNA". It matches the Rfam family "Bacterial small subunit ribosomal RNA", at positions 338 to 795 of the family's 1533-position model. The record is from RNAcentral.
CCUACGGGAGGCAGCAGUGAGGAAUAUUGGUCAAUGGACGAGAGUCUGAACCAGCCAAGUAGCGUGAAGGAUGACUGCCCUAUGGGUUGUAAACUUCUUUUAUAUGGGAAUAAAAUGUUUCAGGUGGGGGCUUUUGUAUGUACCCUAUGAAUAAGGAUCGGCUAACUCCGUGCCAGCAGCCGCGGUAAUACGGAGGAUCCGAGCGUUGUCCGGAUUGAUUGGGUUUAAAGGGUGCGUAGGUGGAUUUUUAAGUCAGUUGUGAAAGUUUGCGGCUCAACCGUAAAAUGGCAGUUGAUACUGGAAGUCUUGAGUACAGUAGAGGUGGGCGGAAUUCGUGGUGUAGCGGUGAAAUGCUUAGAUAUCACGAAGAACUCCGAUUGCGAAGGCAGCUCGCUGGACUGCAACUGACACUGAGGCUCGAAAGUGUGGGUAUCAAACAGGAUUAGAUACCCUAGUAGUC